RNAcentral lists this ribosomal RNA (497 nucleotides) under uncultured bacterium. RNAcentral describes it as "partial 16S ribosomal RNA". It matches the Rfam family "Bacterial small subunit ribosomal RNA", at positions 28 to 507 of the family's 1533-position model. The record is from RNAcentral.
GAUGAACGCUGGCGGCGUGCCUAAUACAUGCAAGUCGAGCGAACAGAUAAGGAGCUUGCUCCUUUGACGUUAGCGGCGGACGGGUGAGUAACACGUGGGUAACCUACCUAUAAGACUGGAAUAACUCCGGGAAACCGGGGCUAAUGCCGGAUAACAUUUAGAACCGCAUGGUUCUAAAGUGAAAGAUGGUUUUGCUAUCACUUAUAGAUGGACCCGCGCCGUAUUAGCUAGUUGGUAAGGUAACGGCUUACCAAGGCAACGAUACGUAGCCGACCUGAGAGGGUGAUCGGCCACACUGGAACUGAGACACGGUCCAGACUCCUACGGGAGGCAGCAGUAGGGAAUCUUCCGCAAUGGGCGAAAGCCUGACGGAGCAACGCCGCGUGAGUGAUGAAGGUCUUCGGAUCGUAAAACUCUGUUAUUAGGGAAGAACAAAUGUGUAAGUAACUGUGCACGUCUUGACAGUACCUAAUCAGAAAGCCACGGCUAACUACGUG